RNAcentral lists this ribosomal RNA (253 nucleotides) under uncultured bacterium. RNAcentral's name for it is "partial 16S ribosomal RNA". It matches the Rfam family "Bacterial small subunit ribosomal RNA", at positions 524 to 776 of the family's 1533-position model. The record is from RNAcentral.
UACAGAGGGUGCGAGCGUUAAUCGGAAUUACUGGGCGUAAAGCGCACGUAGGUGGCGACGUAAGUCGGGUGUAAAAGCCCCGGGCUCAACCUGGGAAUUGCAUUCGAGACUGUGUCGCUGGAGUACGGAAGAGGAAGGCGGAAUUCCCGGUGUAGCGGUGAAAUGCGUAGAUAUCGGGAGGAACAUCAGUGGCGAAGGCGGCCUUCUGGUCCAGUACUGACACUCAAGUGCGAAAGCGUGGGGAGCAAACAGG